UGGGGAAUUUUGCACAAUGGGGGAAACCCUGAUGCAGCGACGCCGCGUGAUUUAGAAGGCCUUCGGGUUGUAAAAAUCUUUUCUAUGGGAAGAAAAUGACAGUACCAUAGGAAUAAGGACCGGCUAAUUACGUGCCAGCAGCCGCGGUAAUACGUAAGGUCCGAGCGUUGUCCGGAAUCAUUGGGCGUAAAGGGUACGUAGGCGGGUAAGCAAGUUAGAAGUGAAAUCCUAUAGCUCAACUAUAGUAAGCUUUUAAAACUGCUCAUCUUGAGGUAUGGAAGGGAAAGUGGAAUUCCUAGUGGAGCGGUGAAAUGCGCAGAUAGUAGGAGGAAUACCGGUGGCGAAGGCGACUUUCUGGCCAUAACCUGACGCUGAGGUACGAAAGCGUGGGUAGCAAACAGG
Molecule: ribosomal RNA, 402 nt
Filed under: bacterium
Lineage: Bacteria
Description: partial 16S ribosomal RNA
Rfam family: Bacterial small subunit ribosomal RNA
Source: RNAcentral